GGAACGUAUUCUUUGAUUGUGGCCAUAGUCAAUAUGAGUGUAUAUAUUUGUCAAAACUCACACUCUAAAAAAACAAAACAAAACUCAGACUCUACAAAUGGUGUAUAUUACCAUAUAUAAAUUAUACUUUAAACAAAACAAAAAGAGACCAACCUACAAAGAAAUCACUCCAUCGAUUACUUAGUGGUCACAAGGUGUGAAAGGUAUCUUUACAAAGCAGUGACUGGCUGUCACAACCUCACCCAUGAUCAAUUUCAGCCUCACUGAUGUUGGACAACCAGAUGUUAGGUGUCUCCUAAUGUGAUGCAACUUGGAGUACAGAGCACCCAGGAAAGAGAGAGAUGUAUCUAAGGAAACAUUCAGACAAAUCCAGAAUGUGAUGGGGCAGCUCAAAAAACAACUGGCUUGGACUCCAGAAAGGUCAGUAUCAUGAAAACCAAGAAAAAAAAAAAAAGGUGGGGUGAGUGGGAGAUGGAGAGGGUGGUUCCAUCUAAAUAAAAAAUGAUUAAAGAGACCUAUAACCCUUGAUUGGACUCUGCUUUGAACAGACCAGCUAUAAAAGACAUUUUGGGGACAAUUAGGGAAAUUUGAAUGUGGACUAGGUAUUAGAUGGUAUUGAUUUUAUUACGUAUGAUAAAUGUGGCUUUGUAGGAUAUUGCUUUUUAGAGAUGUAUGUUGAAGUAUUAGGGAUGCAAUGUCGCAGUUCGCAUAGUUCAUUUCAGAAUCCUUCCGCCCAAAUGAGGAGGAAGCAGAAGUAAUAUGAAGGGGCAGAUCCCGGCUAUGGACCAGGCACCUGUGCCGACCACACUUAAGAUGGAAUGCAAGCUCCUUACAGAGGCCUCUUUAGACCAGACCUGACCAUCUGAAGGGCCACCAUCGGGUCCCCAGGGCCUGCGUUUAUCAAGCACCUGCGCGCCCUGCGCACAGCUGCAGGCGCCUCGGCCUCGGGACCUUGCUGCUUGCUGUUUCCUGCUGGGAGGGCCGACCCUGUCGGGACUAGCCGGGUGACUUGCCCCCAGCCACGGAAACAGCUGCAAUCCGGGACCUCAGACCUGACCCGAUCCCCGCCGGCGCGGAGCAGCGGGAAGCCAGGUUCCUCCGCCACCUCCCGGCCAGAGCCGUGGGCACCUGGUUCCAGCGCACCUGCCUUCGCUCCUCCUCGUCCUCGCUCUGGUCCCGAGCAGUGCGUCGUGGCAGGCCGGUCCCCGCCGCGGGCGGAGUCUCCAGCAGCGUUCUCCCAGUUCUCGUCCCCCUGGCGGGAUCGGGUUCCCUCCCUCAGUUGUUGUGGAGCAGGUGCAGGCCGGGUCCCACGAAGCGGAGUCGUGAGCAAGCAGAGCUUGUACUCUGGGCUGGGAGUGGAGGGCCCGGCCACCUGCGCACAGAAUGCCUGAGGGCCCCGAGCUGCAUCUGGCCAGCCGCUUCGUGAACGAGGCGUGCAGGGGGUUGGUGUUUGGCGGGUGUGUGGAGAAGUCACCCGUCAGCCGCAACCCUGAGGUGCCCUUUGAGAGCAGUGCGUACUGCAUCUCAUCCUCGGCCCGUGGCAAGGAGCUGCGCCUGACCCUGAGCCCCCUGCCUGGGGCCGAGCCCCCACGGGGGCCACUGGCCCUGGUCUUCCGAUUCGGCAUGUCUGGCUCCUUCCAGCUGGCGUCCCGGGAUGCGCUGCCAGCCCACGCCCACCUGCGCUUUUACACAGCUCCCCCCGGCCCCCCACUUGCCCUCUGCUUCGUGGACAUCCGCCGCUUUGGCCACUGGGACCUCGGGGGCGAGUGGCAGCCCGGCCGUGGGCCUUGUGUCUUGCUGGAGUAUGAGCAGUUCAGGGAGAACGUGUUACGAAACCUAGCGGACAAGGUCUUUGACCAGCCCAUCUGCGAGGCCCUCUUGGACCAGAGGUUCUUCAAUGGCAUUGGCAACUAUCUUCGGGCAGAGAUCCUGUACCGGCUGAGGAUACCCCCCUUCGAGAAGGCCCGCGAGGUUCUGGAGGCGCUGCAGCAGCGCAGGCCGAGCCCGGAGCUGACUCUGAGCCAGAAGAUCAGGGCUAAGCUGCAGAACCCAGACCUGCUGGAACUGUGUCACUCCGUGCCCAAGGAAGUGGUCCAGCUGGGGGGAUCCUGGACCCCUGGCACCCAAAGUCCCCACUCCAACCCUGGGAGUCACCCCAGAGCAGGAGUCUGCAGAAAGGGGGCUGAGGGCAUAGGACUCUCCCGCCCCAGUGUCAGUGUCCUGCAGGAGGCAAGUCCCACAAGAAGAAAUCCAAGGGAGCACAGCAGGGGCCUGAGCACAGAACGGAGGUAUGGCUCCUCCCUGCAUUCUCCCCUGCCCCGCCAGCCAGCCGCACCUCCCAGGUGCCCUCCCUCGACAAUGGGGGGCAACGGUGGGUCCUCACCAACCUCUGAACUGCUCACGGAGCCCCUUGGGGACCUGUAUCUCCUCAGGACCCUCUCCUUCCAAGCACGGCCCCUCCCAGGACACGUGGGGCACACAGAGGUCCUCCUGAGCAAAGUAGAGUAGAGCAGCCUGAGGGCACCAGCCUCCAGCAGGACCCAGAGGCCCCCCGAGUUCCUGAGAAGCUCAGGCCACCGCAGACCCCGAAGGAUCAAAGCUGACACCCCAUCCUUGGAGAAUGAGGGGACGGCAGCCUCCUAGCCUGAGGGCGUCCUUGCUCGCGUCCACCGGCUUUCUCUGCUGAGCCCAUCGGGGCCUGGGCGGCUCACCAGAAGCAGGCUGGAGCUGCUGGGGGCCAGGUGCCCCUGGCCCUGUGGCUGUUCCCUGCACACCUCUGAUGUUUUUAAUUGUACCCCACCUUCCCCCUUUUUAAGCCCACAUGAAAAAUGCUGUCAUUUUUAAUAAACUAAUACACUUGAAUUUCUUGGCACUUCUUGGGCUGGCUGCAGAAGGUCUGGGAAGGCCAACCUGGGAAAACCUGCUGCCUGACCUUGGAGACUGGAGAGCCACCUGGGCAAGGCUGACUGAGCCC
This is an RNA transcript of Mirounga angustirostris (Northern elephant seal), 2974 nucleotides long. It is a transcript of the gene named nei like DNA glycosylase 1, with no coding region annotated. The transcript has 10 exons. Lineage: Eukaryota; Metazoa; Chordata; Mammalia; Carnivora; Phocidae. The record is from RefSeq and is a predicted model, not a curated record.